Molecule: ribosomal RNA, 570 nt
Filed under: Merguia oligodon
Lineage: Eukaryota; Metazoa; Arthropoda; Malacostraca; Decapoda; Hippolytidae
Description: partial 28S ribosomal RNA
Rfam family: Eukaryotic large subunit ribosomal RNA
Source: RNAcentral
ACCUGGCAGCCAGUGAUGGGCUGUCCAGGGGUGUUGCGUUCUGGUGCGUCCUUGCUGCCCCGCCUGCUUACCGCCUAAGUCAUUGCUUGAAAGCAGCCCCGAGGAGGGUGAUAGGCCCGUGUGGCGGCGCCUGUAAAAAGGGUGAAGGCAGACGGGGUGGGCGGACGUCCACCGUAGAGUCGGGUUGCUUAGUAGUGCAGCCCUAAGUAGGUGGUAAACUCCAUCUAAGGCUAAAUAUGACCACGAGUCCGAUAGAGAACAAGUACCGUGAGGGAAAGCUGAAAAGGACUUUGAAGAGAGAGUUCAAGAGGACGUGAAACCGUUAGAAGCUCAAACGGGUGGAACCGCGAAGGUUGAAUGAGGGGAUUCAGCUCUCCGGUGCUCAGGGUGCAGUGGGCGGCGGGCCGGAGGCGUGCCUUCGGCGUUCAUGCGACCCGGCAGUUAAAGUCUGAUCUGCCCGGGCUCCGCCCCAGCCUCUGGGUUGCCGGUGGGCUUACUUCUCCCUCAGUCUCAAUUGCCGCGACCCGUUCUGGGGAGCCCCAGGGCCGUGCCGGACCUGGUAACUCUGGC